Molecule: ribosomal RNA, 917 nt
Filed under: Triticum aestivum (bread wheat)
Lineage: Eukaryota; Viridiplantae; Streptophyta; Magnoliopsida; Poales; Poaceae
Description: partial small subunit ribosomal RNA
Source: RNAcentral
ACCCAGUCGCGCACUGAGACCCCCCCACGUCAUCAUCGCCCCAUCAACGCGCAGCUCGCGUAACAUUUGCAGGUCCUCGUCGCCCCUUCGAGGUUUCGGUUUGCCAUGGCGGACCAGCUGAGCGAGGAGCAGAUUGGCGAGUUCAAGGAGGCCUUCAGCCUCUUCGACAAGGACGGCGAUGGCAGCAUCACCACCAAGGAGCUUGGAACCGUGAUGCGCUCCCUCGGCCAGAACCCUACCGAGGCAGAGCUGCAGGACAUGAUCAACGAGGUGGAUGCGGACGGCAACGGCACCAUCGACUUCCCAGAGUUCCUGAACCUGAUGGCCCGCAAGAUGAAGGACACGGACUCCGAGGAGGAGCUCAAGGAGGCGUUCCGCGUGUUUGACAAGGACCAGAACGGUUUCAUCUCCGCGGCGGAGCUCCGCCAGGUGAUGACCAACCUCGGGGAGAAGCUGUCUGAGGAGGAGGUGGAGGAGAUGGUCCGCGAGGCCGAUGUGGACGGCGAUGGCCAGAUCAACUACGACGAGUUCGUCAAGGUCAUGAUGGCCAAGAGAAGGGAGAAGAGGAUAGAGGAGAGGAGAGCGCCGUCGGCCAAGAAGAGCGUGGCAGGGGCAUCCGGUGCAAAGAGUGGCAGCAAAUGCACAAUCCUCUAGCUGAAACCAUCGGACGUGCAUAGUGUGCGUGUGGUGCGCUCGGAGCGCUGGUCCCCGACCGACGCAUCUGAGCUGUUGUAUGUAUGUAUCAAUGUGUGUUCAUGUGUAUCCCGGUGUGUGAUGGCGAUCGGCCUACGACUGUAACCGUUCUCAAGGUAAACGAAUAAAAGUGCUCUCUGUCUUGCGGAAAAGGAAGAAAGUGUAGAAACAAGGCGUGGCGGAGCUUGAGACUUUAAUAACCAUCACGGACAGGUCGACAGAUU